RNAcentral lists this ribosomal RNA (468 nucleotides) under uncultured Anaerolineaceae bacterium. RNAcentral describes it as "bacterial SSU rRNA". It matches the Rfam family "Bacterial small subunit ribosomal RNA", at positions 903 to 1382 of the family's 1533-position model. Lineage: Bacteria; Bacillati; Chloroflexota; Anaerolineae; Anaerolineales; Anaerolineaceae. The record is from RNAcentral.
CUACAAAUGAAUUGACGGGGACCCGCACAAGCAGCGGAGCGUGUGGUUUAAUUCGUUGCUACACGAAGAACCUUACCUGGGUUUGACAUAUAGGUUGUAGGGAACUGAAAGGGACGACCCUUCGGGGAGCCUAUACAGGUGUUGCAUGGCUGUCGUCAGCUCGUGUCGUGAGAUGUUCGGUUAAGUCCGCUAACGAGCGCAACCCUCGUCGUAUGUUAUAUGUGUCAUACGAGACUGCCGGUAAAAAGCCGGAGGAAGGUGAGGAUGAUGUCAAGUCAGCAUGACCUUUAUAUCCAGGGCUACACACACGCUACAAUGGUCUGUACAAUGGGUAGCCAAGCCGCGAGGCGGAGCCAAUCCUGAAAGCAGGCCUCAGUUCAGAUUGCAGUCUGCAACUCGACUGCAUGAAGCCGGAGUUGCUAGUAACCGCAGGUCAGCAAUACUGCGGUGAAUACGUUCCCGGGUCUU